UGAGGGUUGAUAGGUUAAGAGCUGAUUGAUUGGACGUUACCUACAGAAGAAGCACCGGCCAACUCCGUGCCAGCAGCCGCGGUAAUACGGAGGGUGCGAGCGUUAAUCGAAUUACUGGGCGUAAAGGGUGCGUAGGUGGUUAGAUAAGUUAGCUGUGAAAUCCCCGGGCUCAACCUGGGCAGGUCAGCUAAGACUGUUUGACUCGAGUAUGGGAGAGGGUAGUGAAUUUCCGGUGUAGCGGUGAAAUGCGUAGAGAUCGAAGGAACACCAGUGGCGAAGGCGGCUACCUGGCCUAAUACUGACACUGAGGCACGAAAGCGUGGGGAGCAAACAGGAUUAGAUACCCUGGUAGUCCACGCCGUAAACGAUGUCAACUAGUUGUUGGCCUUAUAAUGAGGCUAGUGACGAAGCAAACGCGAUAAGUUGAC
Molecule: ribosomal RNA, 428 nt
Filed under: uncultured Legionella sp.
Lineage: Bacteria; Pseudomonadati; Pseudomonadota; Gammaproteobacteria; Legionellales; Legionellaceae
Description: bacterial SSU rRNA
Rfam family: Bacterial small subunit ribosomal RNA
Source: RNAcentral